Molecule: ribosomal RNA, 506 nt
Filed under: uncultured bacterium
Lineage: Bacteria
Description: bacterial SSU rRNA
Rfam family: Bacterial small subunit ribosomal RNA
Source: RNAcentral
AACGAACGCUGGCGGCGCGCCUAACACAUGCAAGUCGAACGGGGUUAUAAUGUGAAACCUGCUUCGGUAGGUGGAACGCUAUAACUUAGUGGCGAACGGGUGAGUAACACAUAGGGAACCUGCCCUUAGGAUGGGGAUACUCCCGAGAAAUCGGGCACAAUACCGAAUAUGAUUCCGAGGUGAAAUGCCUUGGGAUAAAAGCUGCGAGCAAUCGCGGCACCUGAGGAGGGACCUGUGGCCUAUCAGCUAGUUGGUGAGGUAACGGCUCACCAAGGCAAAGACGGGUAGCCGGACUGAGAGGUCGAUCGGCCACACUGGAACUGAGACACGGUCCAGACUCCUACGGGAGGCAGCAGUGGGGAAUUUUGCGCAAUGGGCGAAAGCCUGACGCAGCGACGCCGCGUGGGGGAAGAAGGCCUUCGGGUUGUAAACUCCUUUCGUGAGGGAAAAAGCCCUGAGCAAUCAGGGUGAUGGUACCUCAGGAAGAAGCCACGGCUAACUCUGUG